This 253-nucleotide ribosomal RNA is filed under the name uncultured bacterium. Its description in RNAcentral is "partial 16S ribosomal RNA". It matches the Rfam family "Bacterial small subunit ribosomal RNA", at positions 524 to 776 of the family's 1533-position model. The record is from RNAcentral.
UACAGAGACUGCAAGCGUUAUUCGGAUUCACUGGGCGUAAAGGGUGCGCAGGCGGCCGUGUGUGUGAGGCGUGAAAGCCCGGGGCUCAACCCCGGAAUUGCACCUCAAACUACACGGCUAGAGCAUUGGAGAGGGUAGCGGAAUUCACGGUGUAGCAGUGAAAUGCGUAGAUAUCGUGAGGAACACCAGAGGCGAAGGCGGCUACCUGGACAAUUGCUGACGCUCAGGCACGAAAGCGUGGGGAGCAAACAGG